GGGCGUAAAGGGAGCGUAGGCGGAUAGUUUAGUCAGAGGUGAAAGCCCAGGGCUCAACCUUGGAAUUGCCUUUGAUACUGGCUAUCUUGAGUACGGAAGAGGUAUGUGGAGCUCCGAGUGUAGAGGUGAAAUUCGUAGAUAUUCGGAAGAACACCAGUGGCGAAGGCGACAUACUGGUCCGUUACUGACGCUGAGGCUCGAAAGCGUGGGAGCGA
This 215-nucleotide ribosomal RNA is filed under the name uncultured bacterium. RNAcentral describes it as "partial 16S ribosomal RNA". It matches the Rfam family "Bacterial small subunit ribosomal RNA", at positions 556 to 771 of the family's 1533-position model. The record is from RNAcentral.